RNAcentral lists this small RNA (86 nucleotides) under Flavobacterium sp. 5. RNAcentral describes it as "Flavo-1 RNA". It matches the Rfam family "Flavo-1 RNA". The record is from RNAcentral. Lineage: Bacteria; Pseudomonadati; Bacteroidota; Flavobacteriia; Flavobacteriales; Flavobacteriaceae.
CCCUAGCCCUGAUGGUAGUGACAUCCUUUUUAUGUCUUUUUUUUCUAAAGAGACAUAAAAAGAUAUAACGGACAGCAGGAUAUAAC